GCAGAGCUGACUUUUGGAGGGCCGAGUUGCAGGCGGCGGGCGCAUCCCGGAGAUGGCGGGGCAGGGAGGGAGGGAAGGAGGAGGGGGCGGGGAGGGAGGUGCAGAUUUGCACGGCUGGCCUCAGCGGGAGGCGCGGAAAUGCAAGCCGAGCAUGCUGGCGUGAAAGCCCCCGGGGCCUGGCACCCCCAAAAACGACCCCCCACCUCCGUUCCUGCCCUCAUUGCCCAGGGCUACCCCUCUUCCUCUUCUUUCAUCCACCCCUCCCCCAACAUUACCUGUGUGGCCGACUCAAAUUCAAAGCAUUUUGUAUAUAUAACUGUUUUCUUUUUUUGCUUUUCUGCUGCAUGUCUUUUUCGUGGGGGGUGAUCCUCUGCAGAUCCCCCCAUUUGCGGACCCGCCAUGUGGAGGAGGCAUUUGGGGGGCUCAGAAGGAAAUUAGCUCGGCUUCCAUACCUAUAAGGACUGCCUAACUUUUAAACUCCCGGCACUCAAAGAUGUGGACACACACACGUACAGGAAAUACAGCCAGACCAGAGCCUUUGCAGUCCGCAGCUGACCGGAAGACGUUGCCUUUCAUUCAUUCAUUCUGCCCGCCUCUGUGGACUCCUUUACUAGGCGACCAGCCCUGAAACAGAAGUUGGACAUUUUUUAAAGGUUCUUGCGCUCGGCAAGGGGAGCAGAUAGAUGCUCAGGAGCGAAAGACGCAGAGAAUUGGAUCUGGCGCCUCCUAACGCAGCCCGCACAGGAGCGAAGGAGAGUGUGACGAUCCCCCUGAUGCGGCUGAGAUGUUCUGAAAUGAAGACGUUGGCUCUCAUCCCCAGCCUGAAGAGAGAAAAUUCUGAGAUGGCUCCCUUACAGAUUGAGAGCAGAUACGGGGUUUCACCGUGCUAGCCAGGAUGAUCUCGAUCUACUGACCUCGUGAUCCGCCCGCCUCGGCCUCCCAAAGUGCUGGGAUUAUAGGCGUGAGCCACCGCGCCCGGCGGCUGUGGCUAAUUAUUAGGCACUGGGUAGGAACACAGCCAAGAACGAUUGCAGGAUGGGUCCUUCCAGGACACUGACGUCUCAGCUUGCGCACUGUGAGUCCCUGGACGAGUUACUCCACCUCUCUGAACCUCCUCCUCACUUGCAUAAUGGGAAAAAUAAUGGACAUAGGAAGAUGAAACAAGACCUUGGAGACCACA
RNAcentral lists this long non-coding RNA (1180 nucleotides) under Homo sapiens (human). RNAcentral describes it as "KDM2B divergent transcript (KDM2B-DT)". The record is from RNAcentral. Lineage: Eukaryota; Metazoa; Chordata; Mammalia; Primates; Hominidae.